RNAcentral lists this ribosomal RNA (2376 nucleotides) under Salmonella enterica. RNAcentral's name for it is "partial 23S ribosomal RNA". It matches the Rfam family "Bacterial large subunit ribosomal RNA", at positions 573 to 2925 of the family's 2925-position model. Lineage: Bacteria; Pseudomonadati; Pseudomonadota; Gammaproteobacteria; Enterobacterales; Enterobacteriaceae. The record is from RNAcentral.
GAGGGGGCUUAGUGGUGGGGUGACUGCGUACCUUUUGUAUAAUGGGUCAGCGACUUAUAUUCUGUAGCAAGGUUAACCGAAUAGGGGAGCCGGAGGGAAACCGAGUCUUAACCGGGCGUUAAGUUGCAGGGUAUAGACCCGAAACCCGGUGAUCUAGCCAUGGGCAGGUUGAAGGUUGGGUAACACUAACUGGAGGACCGAACCGACUAAUGUUGAAAAAUUAGCGGAUGACCUGUGGCUGGGGGUGAAAGGCCAAUCAAACCGGGAGAUAGCUGGUUCUCCCCGAAAGCUAUUUAGGUAGCGCCUCGUGAACUCAUCUCCGGGGGUAGAGCACUGUUUCGGCUAGGGGGCCAUCCCGGCUUACCAACCCGAUGCAAACUGCGAAUACCGGAGAAUGUUAUCACGGGAGACACACGGCGGGUGCUAACGUCCGUCGUGAAGAGGGAAACAACCCAGACCGCCAGCUAAGGUCCCAAAGUCAUGGUUAAGUGGGAAACGAUGUGGGAAGGCCCAGACAGCCAGGAUGUUGGCUUAGAAGCAGCCAUCAUUUAAAGAAAGCGUAAUAGCUCACUGGUCGAGUCGGCCUGCGCGGAAGAUGUAACGGGGCUAAACCAUGCACCGAAGCUGCGGCAGCGACACUCAGGUGUUGUUGGGUAGGGGAGCGUUCUGUAAGCCUGCGAAGGUGGCCUGUGAGGGUUGCUGGAGGUAUCAGAAGUGCGAAUGCUGACAUAAGUAACGAUAAAGCGGGUGAAAAGCCCGCUCGCCGGAAGACCAAGGGUUCCUGUCCAACGUUAAUCGGGGCAGGGUGAGUCGACCCCUAAGGCGAGGCCGAAAGGCGUAGUCGAUGGGAAACGGGUUAAUAUUCCCGUACUUGGUGUUACUGCGAAGGGGGGACGGAGAAGGCUAUGUUGGCCGGGCGACGGUUGUCCCGGUUUAAGCGUGUAGGUGUGUGUUCCAGGUAAAUCCGGUUCACUUUAACACUGAGGCGUGAUGACGAGGCACUACGGUGCUGAAGCAACAAAUGCCCUGCUUCCAGGAAAAGCCUCUAAGCAUCAGGUAACAUCAAAUCGUACCCCAAACCGACACAGGUGGUCAGGUAGAGAAUACCAAGGCGCUUGAGAGAACUCGGGUGAAGGAACUAGGCAAAAUGGUGCCGUAACUUCGGGAGAAGGCACGCUGACACGUAGGUGAAGUGAUUUACUCAUGGAGCUGAAGUCAGUCGAAGAUACCAGCUGGCUGCAACUGUUUAUUAAAAACACAGCACUGUGCAAACACGAAAGUGGACGUAUACGGUGUGACGCCUGCCCGGUGCCGGAAGGUUAAUUGAUGGGGUCAGCGCAAGCGAAGCUCCUGAUCGAAGCCCCGGUAAACGGCGGCCGUAACUAUAACGGUCCUAAGGUAGCGAAAUUCCUUGUCGGGUAAGUUCCGACCUGCACGAAUGGCGUAAUGAUGGCCAGGCUGUCUCCACCCGAGACUCAGUGAAAUUGAACUCGCUGUGAAGAUGCAGUGUACCCGCGGCAAGACGGAAAGACCCCGUGAACCUUUACUAUAGCUUGACACUGAACAUUGAGCCUUGAUGUGUAGGAUAGGUGGGAGGCUUUGAAGUGUGGACGCCAGUCUGCAUGGAGCCGGCCUUGAAAUACCACCCUUUAAUGUUUGAUGUUCUAACGUGGACCCGUGAUCCGGGUUGCGGACAGUGUCUGGUGGGUAGUUUGACUGGGGCGGUCUCCUCCUAAAGAGUAACGGAGGAGCACGAAGGUUGGCUAAUCCUGGUCGGACAUCAGGAGGUUAGUGCAAUGGCAUAAGCCAGCUUGACUGCGAGCGUGACGGCGCGAGCAGGUGCGAAAGCAGGUCAUAGUGAUCCGGUGGUUCUGAAUGGAAGGGCCAUCGCUCAACGGAUAAAAGGUACUCCGGGGAUAACAGGCUGAUACCGCCCAAGAGUUCAUAUCGACGGCGGUGUUUGGCACCUCGAUGUCGGCUCAUCACAUCCUGGGGCUGAAGUAGGUCCCAAGGGUAUGGCUGUUCGCCAUUUAAAGUGGUACGCGAGCUGGGUUUAGAACGUCGUGAGACAGUUCGGUCCCUAUCUGCCGUGGGCGCUGGAGAACUGAGGGGGGCUGCUCCUAGUACGAGAGGACCGGAGUGGACGCAUCACUGGUGUUCGGGUUGUCAUGCCAAUGGCACUGCCCGGUAGCUAAAUGCGGAAGAGAUAAGUGCUGAAAGCAUCUAAGCACGAAACUUGCCCCGAGAUGAGUUCUCCCUGAGACUUUAGGUCUCCUGAAGGAACGUUGAAGACGACGACGUUGAUAGGCCGGGUGUGUAAGCGCAGCGAUGCGUUGAGCUAACCGGUACUAAUGAACCGUGAGGCUUAACCUUACA